AUUGAACGCUGGCGGCAGGCCUAACACAUGCAAGUCGAACGGCAGCACAGAAGAGCUUGCUCUUUGGGUGGCGAGUGGCGGACGGGUGAGUAAUGUCUGGGAAACUGCCCGAUGGAGGGGGAUAACUACUGGAAACGGUAGCUAAUACCGCAUAACGUCGCGAGACCAAAGUGGGGGACCUUCGGGCCUCCCACCAUCGGAUGUGCCCAGAUGGGAUUAGCUAGUAGGUGGGGUAAUGGCUAACCUAGGCGACGAUCCCUAGCUGGUCAGAGAGGAUGACCAGCCACACUGGAACUGAGACACGGUCCAGACUCCUACGGGAGGCAGCAGUGGGGAAUAUUGCACAAUGGGCGCAAGCCUGAUGCAGCCAUGCCGCGUGUAUGAAGAAGGCCUUCGGGUUGUAAAGUACUUUCAGCGGGGAGGAAGGCGGUGAGGUUAAUAACCUUGCCGAUUGACGUUACCCGCAGAAGAAGCACCGGCUAACUCCGUGCCAGCCGCCGCCGUAA
Molecule: ribosomal RNA, 506 nt
Filed under: uncultured bacterium
Lineage: Bacteria
Description: partial 16S ribosomal RNA
Rfam family: Bacterial small subunit ribosomal RNA
Source: RNAcentral